Molecule: ribosomal RNA, 351 nt
Filed under: uncultured Fusibacter sp.
Lineage: Bacteria; Bacillati; Bacillota; Clostridia; Eubacteriales; Fusibacteraceae
Description: bacterial SSU rRNA
Rfam family: Bacterial small subunit ribosomal RNA
Source: RNAcentral
AGGUGGUGCAGUGGUUGUCGUCAGCUCGUGUCGUGAGAUGGUUGGGUUAACGUCCCGACAACGGGCGCAACCCUUGUGUUUAGUUGCAAACAGGUCAAGCUGUGCACUCUAGACAGACUGCCGUGGACAACACGGAGGAAGGUGGGGAUGACGUCAAAUCAUCAUGCCCCUUAUGAUCUGGGCUACACACGUGCUACAAUGGCCGGUACAACGGGCAGCGAAGGAGCGAUCCGGAGCGAAUCCUAAAAAGCCGGUCCCAGUUCGGAUUGCAGGCUGAAACUCGCCUACAUGAAGUUGGAGUUGCUAGUAAUCGCGAAUCAGAAUGUCGCGGUGAAUGCGUUCCCGGGUCUU